AGAACGAACGCUGGCGGCAUGCCUAAUACAUGCAAGUCGAACGAACACUUCGGUGUUAGUGGCGCACGGGUGCGUAACGCGUGGGAAUCUGCCCUUGGGUUCGGAAUAACAGUUGGAAACGACUGCUAAUACCGGAUGAUGACGAAAGUCCAAAGAUUUAUCGCCAAGGGAUGACGCCCGCGUAGGAUUAGCUAGUGGUGAGGUAAAGCUCACAAGGCAACGAUCCUUAGCUGGUCUGAGAGGAUGAUCACGCCACACUGGGACUGAGACGACGGACCCAGUACCUCCGUACGGGACGGCAACGCAAGGUAGGGAAUAGUGGAACAAGUGGACGAAAGCC
This 340-nucleotide ribosomal RNA is filed under the name uncultured soil bacterium. Its description in RNAcentral is "bacterial SSU rRNA". It matches the Rfam family "Bacterial small subunit ribosomal RNA", at positions 26 to 383 of the family's 1533-position model. The record is from RNAcentral.